GACCCCAGUCAGGUGGGGCUACCACUGAGUUUAAACAUAUAAAUAAUGCGGAGGAAAAAAACUUACAAGGAUUCCCUUAGUAGCGGCAAGCGAACAGGAUCAGCCCAGCUUGAUAAUCGGGUGGCUUUGUCGUCGUCUGAAUAGUCUGGAGAAGCGUCCUCAGCGGCGGACCGGGCCCAAGUCCCCUGGAAAGGCGCCGGUGUGAGUGAAACCCGUCCGGCUCCGGACCCUGUCGCUUCCUGGCUGUCGGCCGAGUCAGGUUGUUUGGGAAUACAGCCCCAAUCGGGCGGUAAAUUCCGUCAAAGGCUAAAUAUGGCGAAGACCGAUAGCGAACAAAUACCCUCAGGAAAGAUGAAAAAAGGACUUUGAAAAGAAGUCAAAAGUGCUUGAAAUUGCCGGGAGGAAAGCGGAUGGGGCGGCGAUACACCUUGGUCGGAUGCAAAACGGCGGUUAGCCAUCCGCCCGCUUCUUUCGAGUCUGCGGAUCGAUCGGGGCUGCAUCGGCAACCGAAAGCUUUCCAGACGGAUCGUUCGUUCGAGGAUACCGUCGAUCGGUCGAGAGACAUGGCGCCAGCGCCAUCGUCGUGCCCGCGAGGCCUGCGUCGCGACCUAGGCAUCGGCCAGUGGGCUCCCCAUCCGACCGUCUUGAAACCACGGACCAAGGAGUCGACAUGCGUCGCGAAAUCGGCGGGUGCGGAAACCCGGAAGGCACAAAGGAAGCUAACGGGCGGGAACCCUCUCGGGGUUGCACCGCCCGGCCGACCCGAUCUUCUGUGAAGGGUUCGAGUUGGAGCAUGCAUGUCGGGACCCGAAGAUGGUGAACUAUGCUGAGGCGAGGUGAAGCCGGAGAAACUCUGGUGGAGGCCCGGCGAUCUUGGCGAUGCAAAUCGUUAAAUCGACUUGGGUAUAGAAGGCGAAAAAAACUAAUCGAACCAUCUAGUAGCUGGUUCCCUCAGAAGUUUCCCUUAGGAUGGUUGGAGCCCGUCGUGAGUUCUAUCGGGUAAAACCAAUGAUUAGAGGCAUCGGUAGGCAGCGCCCUCGACCUAUUCUCAAACUUUAAAUAGGUAGGAUGGCGGCGGCUGCCCGUUGAGCAGCGUCGUGGAAUCGAAAACUCCAAGUGGGCCAUUUUGGUAAGCAGAACUGGCGUCUGGGAUGAACGGGAAGCGAGGUUCUGGUGCCCAACUGCUUGCGCUAACCUAGACACCACAAAGGGUGUUGGUCGAUUAAGACAACAGGGCGGUGGUCAUGGAAGUCGAAAUCCGCUAAGGAGUGUGUAACAACUCACCUACCGAAUCAACUAGCCCCGAAAUGGAUGGCUGGCUGAAGCGCGACCCACCCCGACCAUCGGCUGGCGGCCAAACCCGAUGGUAGGAGGGUGCAGCGGUCACCAUAAAAACCAAAGCCGAGAGCGGCGGAAGCGGCCGUCGGUGCAGAUCUUGGUGGUAGUAGCAAAUAUUCAAAUGAGAACUUUGAAGGCGAAGAGGGAAAGGUUCCGUGUGAGCGGCACUUGCACAUGGGUUAGCCGAUCCUAAGGGCGGGGAAGCCCGUCCCAAGCGUGUCUCAGGAGCUCGAAAAGGAAUCGGGUUAAAAUUCGAGCCGGGGGGGAUCGCGGCGGCGGGCGGGCGCAGCGUUAGGAAGUCGGAGCGCCCGGCGAAACUCGAGGAAAAGUUAUCUUUUCUGCUAACGGCCCGCCCACCCUGAAGCAGCUUAGCUAGAGUAGGGUCCAGCGGUGGAAAAGAAAAGCGCCCGCCGUCGCGGCGUCAGUGCGCCCGGCGGCCCCCAAAAUCGGGAGGACCGAGUGCCGCCAGCGCCCGGGUCGUACUCAUAACCGCAUCAGGUCUCCAAAGGUGAACAGCCUCUGGCCCAUGGAACAAUGUAGGCAAGGGAAAUUGACAAAAGCGGAUCCGUAACCGGAAAAAGUUGGCUCUGAGGACUGGGCACGGGGUCCCGGCCCCGAAUCCGUCGGCUGUCGGCCCGGACUGCUUUCGAGCUGCUCUCGCGGAAGCGGUCGCCCAGCGAUGCCGGCCGAGGGCGGACCGGGAAUAGCCCCCUCGAGGGCUUCCCCGGCGUCGAACAACCGACUCAGAACUGGAAAUGCGGACAAGGGGAAUCCGACUGUUUAAUUAAAACAAAAGCAUUGCGAUGGUCCCCAUGGAUGCUCCGCAUAAUGUGAUUUCUGCCCCUAGUGCUCUGAAUGUCAAAGUGAAGAAUUUCAACCAAAGCGGCGGGUAAGCGGCGGGGGUAACUAUGACUCUCUUAAGGUAGCCAAAUGCCUCGUCAUCUAAUUAGUGGCGCAUGAAUGGA
This 2303-nucleotide ribosomal RNA is filed under the name Musa schizocarpa. RNAcentral's name for it is "eukaryotic LSU rRNA". It matches the Rfam family "Eukaryotic large subunit ribosomal RNA", at positions 1 to 2323 of the family's 3401-position model. The record is from RNAcentral. Lineage: Eukaryota; Viridiplantae; Streptophyta; Magnoliopsida; Zingiberales; Musaceae.